CGAGAGGGGCUCGAUAGCAAGAAAAGCUGCUAACUUUUCCACACUCCGGUUUAACCCCGGGGCCCACUCGU
RNAcentral lists this transfer RNA (71 nucleotides) under Dibranchus sp. YXL-2021. RNAcentral describes it as "tRNA-Ser". The record is from RNAcentral. Lineage: Eukaryota; Metazoa; Chordata; Actinopteri; Lophiiformes; Ogcocephalidae.